RNAcentral lists this ribosomal RNA (207 nucleotides) under uncultured bacterium. Its description in RNAcentral is "partial 16S ribosomal RNA". It matches the Rfam family "Bacterial small subunit ribosomal RNA", at positions 568 to 774 of the family's 1533-position model. The record is from RNAcentral.
CGCGUAGGCGGCCUUCUAAGUCAGACGUGAAAUCCCCGGGCUCAACCCGGGAACUGCGUCUGAGACUGGAAGGCUCGAAUCCGGGAGAGGGAUGUGGAAUUCCAGGUGUAGCGGUGAAAUGCGUAGAUAUCUGGAAGAACACCCGUGGCUAAGGCGGCUCUCUAGUACGGUACUGACGCUGAGACGCGAAAGCGUGGGGAGCGAACA